GGCUGGUCCGAAGGUAGUGAGAUCUCACAACGAUUGCUUACAGUCAAUUACUGGUCGGCCUAUUUGUCUACCUCCCCUCACUACUGCACUUGACCAGUCUUAA
Echinops telfairi (small Madagascar hedgehog) is the source of this 103-nucleotide unclassified non-coding RNA. It matches the Rfam family "Y RNA". From Rfam's summary of the family: Y RNAs are components of the Ro ribonucleoprotein particle (Ro RNP), in association with Ro60 and La proteins. The Y RNAs and Ro60 and La proteins are well conserved, but the function of the Ro RNP is not known. In humans the RNA component can be one of four small RNAs -- hY1, hY3, hY4 and hY5. The record is from Ensembl. NCBI's taxonomy places the organism in Eukaryota, Metazoa, Chordata, Mammalia, Afrosoricida, Tenrecidae.